This 498-nucleotide ribosomal RNA is filed under the name uncultured bacterium. RNAcentral's name for it is "bacterial SSU rRNA". It matches the Rfam family "Bacterial small subunit ribosomal RNA", at positions 28 to 558 of the family's 1533-position model. The record is from RNAcentral.
AAUCAACGCUGGCGACAUGCCUAACACAUGCAAGUCGAACGAGAAAGGGUAGCAAUACCUGAGUAAAGUGGCGCACGGGUGAGUAACACGUGACUAACCUACCUCCGAGUUCGGAAUAACUUCGGGAAACCGAGGCUAAUACCGGAUGAUGUCUAUGGACCAAAGGGGCAACUCGCUUGGAGAGGGGGUCGCGGCUGAUUAGCUAGUUGGUGAGGUAAUGGCUCACCAAGGCAAUGAUCAGUAUCCGGCCUGAGAGGGCGCACGGACACACUGGAACUGAAACACGGUCCAGACUCCUACGGGAGGCAGCAGUGGGGAAUUUUGCACAAUGGGGGAAACCCUGAUGCAGCAAUGCCGCGUGGAGGAUGAAGUUCUUUGGAACGUAAACUCCUUUCGAUCGGGACGAUUAUGACGGUACCGGAAGAAGAAGCCCCGGCUAACUCUGUGCCAGCAGCCGCGGUAAUACAGAGGGGGCAAGCGUUGUUCGGAAUUAUUGGG